GUCCUUGUGGAGCAUGGUAGCCCGCUCCUACACAAUCAGCUGGGAACAUAUUGCCAUGUGGGAGAGCCGGUGGUUCGAAUCCACCCGAGGACA
Molecule: non-coding RNA, 93 nt
Organism: Mycena leptocephala
Lineage: Eukaryota; Fungi; Basidiomycota; Agaricomycetes; Agaricales; Mycenaceae
Source: the annotation of a GenBank genome assembly